GAGGAGGUCGCGGCUGAUUAGCUAGUUGGCGGGGUAAUGGCCCACCAAGGCGAAGAUCGGUAGCCGGCCUGAGAGGGCGCACGGCCACACUGGAACUGAGACACGGUCCAGACUCCUACGGGAGGCAGCAGUGGGGAAUUUUGCGCAAUGGGGGAAACCCUGACGCAGCAACGCCGCGUGGAGGAUGAAGUCCCUUGGGACGUAAACUCCUUUCGACCGGGAAGAUGAUGACGGUACCGGUGGAAGAAGCACCGGCUAACUCUGUGCCAGCAGCCGCGGUAAUACAGAGGGUGCGAGCGUUGUUCGGAAUUAUUGGGCGUAAAGGGCGCGUAGGCGGUGUGGUAAGUCACCUGUGAAAUCUCCGGGCUUAACUCGGAGCUUGCAGGCGAAACUGCCGUGCUGGAGUGUGGGAGAGGUGCGUGGAAUUCCCGGUGUAGCGGUGAAAUGCGUAGAUAUCGGGAGG
Molecule: ribosomal RNA, 463 nt
Filed under: uncultured Acidobacteriota bacterium
Lineage: Bacteria; Pseudomonadati; Acidobacteriota
Description: bacterial SSU rRNA
Rfam family: Bacterial small subunit ribosomal RNA
Source: RNAcentral